This 381-nucleotide long non-coding RNA is filed under the name Hordeum vulgare. RNAcentral's name for it is "long non-coding RNA (HVUL_LNC018249)". The record is from RNAcentral. Lineage: Eukaryota; Viridiplantae; Streptophyta; Magnoliopsida; Poales; Poaceae.
GGUGAUUGCACCAUCAUAGGGAGCAGAUGGAACAAAUUAAGGUAGAGCCCUGGUGCUUUUUGUGAGCACUUGGAGGUGGUUGAUAACUUGAUAUCCAUGGUAGGAACAAAUAAAAUAUUGAGAAAAAGGAAUAAGAGUUUGUUUUGCUUAACGCAGGCACUACCUAGACUGGUUGGAACCUAGCUAAAAGCCCAUCUUCAGAUCAUUUAUAUCACACAUUCUAAAUAUACAAUCCAUCAAUUAAUUAUGUAAUGUGUGACAGUUCUUUUUUCUUGACGAAUUCCCUGCAUGUAGGCAUCAUCAUGCAUGAGAUCGAUGAAGAGCCCAAACAUGCAUGUGUGCUACACUGUUACCAUGUACUAGCUUUGUGUCACUCUAGCU